GCCCAGGAUCCUGGGGAAGAGGGGGGAGGGUGGCGUCUCUGCUCCUAGAGCGCUGGCCCGGCCCAGAGGGGACAGGAAGCCAGGACACCGGGGAUUGUCUCUUGCAAGCACAGCCCAGUCCCGGCUUGGGAGGAAGUUCUGCCGAGCGCUCUCCGCCGGUUAUAUUGUUGAACAGGAAACAGGGCAUCGCCGGAGCAGGGCUGUGGAGCAGGCAGCUCCGGACGCGGACCCCACGCGCGUCUGCCGGGACAAGUGGAAGCUAGGCCAGCGGGCGAAAGUUCUAAGUGUCUCCUGUUUCGCGCUGUUUCUUCAGUCUCGGUCCUUGGAAGUCCCUCCCACAGAUAUGGUAGAGGCCUAGUCUGCUUCCCUCCGUCAGCCCCGCCCAUGGGCAGCCUGAGAUCCUCCCAGCUAACAAAAGCGCGGUGGUCGCGAUGGCGGCGGACGUCGAGGGGGACGUGUACGUGCUGGUGGAACACCCCUUCGAGUACACCGGCAAAGACGGGCGCCGCAUCGCCAUCCAACCGAACGAGCGUUACCGACUGCUGCGCCGCAGCACCGAGCACUGGUGGCACGUGCGGCGGGAGCCCGGGGGUCGCCCCUUCUACCUCCCCGCGCAGUACGUACGCGAGCUGCCCGCGCUCGGCGACCCUGCCCCGGCCCCGCAGCCUUCCGUACCGCAGCAGCGCCCCGCAGUCCCGGAACCUCUGGCCUACGACUACCGCUUCGUGAGCACCCCGGUGGGCGCCGAUGGGUCCUCUGCCGAGCCCCGGGGCCGCGCCAGCUCCCUGUGUGGCCCUGCACGACAGCGCACCGGUGGCCAGCGCAACAGCCUGGCUCCGGGAGGGCCCGCCUGCCUUUACGUGCGGCCCGCGGCGCCUGUGCGACCGGCGCAGUCCCUGGAUGACUUGGCGCGCGGCGGUACCGCGCCCCCUGCCGGCCUCCUCGGCAGCGCGGGCCACUUCAAGGCCUCCAGCGUGGCGGGCUCCUGGGUUUGUCCCCGGCCCCUGGCGCCUAGCGACUCGGAGAAUGUCUACGAGGCCAUUCCGGACUUGCGCUGCCCUCCGCGGGCAGAGAGCCCAAAGCAGGUGGACGACCCCCCGGAACCAGUGUAUGCCAAUGUAGAGAGGCAACCUCGGGCCACGUCGCCUCGCUCAGCUGCAGCUCCUCCUCGGCUCAGCCCAGUGUGGGAGACACACACAGACACGGGCACUGGGCGCCCCUACUACUACAACCCCGACACGGGCGUGACCACCUGGGAGUCACCCUUUGAAACACCUGAAGGCACCACCAGCCCGGCCACCUCCCGGGCCUCUGUGGGUAGCGGGGAGAGCCUGGAGACAGAGUGGGGCCAGUACUGGGAUGAGGAGAGCCGCAGGGUCUUCUUCUACAACCCCUUGACCGGUGAGACGGCCUGGGAGGACGAGACCGAGGAGCUGGAGGAAGAUCACCAGGAACAACUGGAAAUGCAACCCAGCCUGAGCCCGCGAAGCCCCGGGCAGCAGAGGCCCCCAACUCCUGAAACAGACUACCCCGAAUUACUGGCCAGUUACCCUGAAGAGGACUACUCUCCUGUGGGCUCCUUCAGUGAUCCGGGCCCCGCUUCUCCUUUGGUUGCACCCCCUGGCUGGUCCUGUCAAAUUACCCCAGACAAACAGAUGCUCUACACCAACCAGUUCACUCAAGAGCAGUGGGUAAGGUUGGAGGACCAGCACGGGAAGCCAUAUUUCUACAACCCAGAGGACUCCUCUGUUCAGUGGGAGCUACCCCAGGUCCCGAUCCCUGCCCCCCGAAGUGUCCGCAAAUCCAGCCAGGAUAGCGACACUCCAGCCCAGGCUAGCCCUCCAGAGGAGAAGAUCAAGACUCUGGACAAGGCAGGAGUCCUCCAUCGUACCAAGACGGUAGACAAGGGGAAGAGACUUCGGUCCUGUGAGGAAACGGGAUCCUACGGUCCUUUGGCUACCAGCUAUCUGGGGGAACCCAGCCCUCUCAGGCCAGUACCCCAAGCUAUGUUUUUAAAACUCAAUGCCCUAGUGUGUAUUUGGGUUCAGUGAGUCCUCCAGCCCAGGAGCAAAUUUAAGCCCUACCCACCGCCACUUCCUCCUUCCUCAGGAAGAAACACUGGAGCACCUCCUGGACAGUGUUGGAGGGCGGGGUCCUGACCUUCUUCAAGGACUCAAAGACCUCAGCUGCAGGCGGCCUGAGGCAGCCUUCCAAGCUCUCCACCCCUGAAUACACAGUCGAACUGAAGGGGGCCUCUCUCUCUUGGGCCCCCAAAGACAAAUCCAGCAAGAAGAAUGUGUUAGAGCUUCGAAGCCGAGAUGGCUCGGAGUACCUGAUCCAGCACGACUCCGAAGCCAUCAUCAGCACCUGGCACAAAGCCAUUGCCGAAGGCAUCUCAGAGCUGUCUGCAGACCUGCUCCAAGGGGAGGAAGGUGAGCCCAGCAGUGCUGAUUUCGGGUCCAGUGAGCGCCUCGGAAGCUGGCGGGAGGAGGAUGUACGGCAGAACGCAGCCUCACCCUCGCUCAGCCCCGGAGGCCUGGAAAGCGACUUGAGCAGAGUCCGGCACAAGCUCCGUAAAUUCCUACAGAGACGACCCACUCUGCAGUCUUUGCGGGACAAGGGCUACAUCAAAGACCAGGUGUUUGGAUGCGCGCUGGCUCAACUGUGUGAGCGCGAGAGGAGCCCUGUGCCACGCUUCGUGCAGCAAUGCAUCCGCACCGUCGAGGCCCGGGGGCUGGAUAUUGAUGGGCUGUACCGCAUCAGUGGGAACCUGGCUACCAUCCAGAAGCUGCGCUAUAAGGUGGAUCACGAUGAACGCUUGGACUUGGACGACGGGCGCUGGGAAGACGUCCACGUGAUCACGGGUGCCCUGAAGCUCUUCUUCCGAGAGCUGCCGGAACCUCUCUUCCCCUUCUCGCACUUCCACCAGUUCAUAGCAGCCAUUAAGCUGCAGGACCCAGCCCAGCGCAGCCGCUGCGUGCGUGACCUGGUGCGCACGCUGCCAGCUCCCAACCAGGACACGCUCCGACUGCUCAUCCAGCAUCUCUGCCGGGUCAUCGAGCAUGGCGAGCAGAACCGUAUGACUGUGCAGAAUGUGGCCAUAGUGUUCGGACCCACGCUGCUGCGGCCAGAGAUGGAGGAGGCCAGCAUGCCCAUGACCAUGGUGUUCCAGAACCAGGUGGUGGAGCUCAUCCUACAUCAGUGCGCGGACAUCUUCCCACCGCACUGACUGUGGACCGUGGGUUAGCUGGAGGCCGUGAGGCUGGACCUCCUCUGAGGCUCUCCGCUUCCCACCCCCGCUGCACUGUGACUUCAACGCCCUUCCAUUCAGAGGGUACAGUGACCCCUGGUGGGCAGUUCAUGAAAUGUGAUUUCUCCCUCUCGCGUCCCCAUUAGGGCCAUUUCCCUAAUUACAGCGCCGCCUAUUGUGUGGAUGUGAGAACGUGCCUGGUGGAGGGAAAUGAAUGUCUUUCUAGUUCCACCACCACCACCCACCCACAGCUGGGAGAGGGGAUUUUGGUGAGGGCGUUCUGGUUUCCUUAAGCCUGUACCUGUCCAGGCCUUGGUGGAGACCCUGUAGGCCCCAUGCUACGCAAGAGGUCAUGAAGCAGCUACUGACAUUGUCUCUGCUGCCAGGGGAGGACUGACCCUGGCUGCCAGCCCAGGCCACUGACUGCCUCCCUCAGCCUUCUGCUCCAGUGCCACCCUGAUGCAGGCCUCCUGAGAACUUUUCCGAUGCUUCCCUCUCUCCUUGGGCCACACCCGCUCUCUACAGACGUUCUUCAUACUAACCACAUACCAAACCUGGCAAUCUGGGGCUUGCAGAAGUCACAGUACUUCAGGGGUCCAUAGGUGAUCUGAUUCCCUGCAAAGGCUAUCCCCACAGCAAGCCCAGCUUCUAGAAGAGGGAGUCACGCCCCUGCCCCACUGCAGCACAGCCUGUAGGUAGACCAGAGUAAAUGCUGGAGCACUUCGUGUAGGUUAGAGGUUGGGGGCCCCCCGAAGGCAGCAGGGAACCUACCACAGCUGUUUGGGGGGGCAGCAUGAAUAGAAGCCUCCAGCUGCUGUCUACACCCUGGCUGGGUGCCUACCUAAAGCCCCCAACCACUGUCUACAUCCUGGCUGGCUGGAUGCCUACCUGGUACCCACUUGCCAUGCAGAGGCCUGUCCGGGAGGUCACAGCCUUAGGCAAACAGUUGAACCUGUGUCAACUGCCCGCUUCCUCCCUCGUGCACCUCAAUCUAUGGAUCUGAGCCCCCAGCUCCACCCACCCCCACUGACUCAACAAACAAUAAUAGCUAAUAUUUAUUGAGCAUUCAGACUAUGCCAGCCUUUCCCACAGGCUUCUCCCUUGGUUUCAUGCAGUCCAUAUUUAUUGUGGGUCCUCAUGUGCCUGGCACUGUGCCCUGGGGCAGGGGUUCUACGCAUGCGUUCUGGAGCUUGGGGCUCCCAGUGAGUACGGCUGAUGCAAGCCCAGCCCUGAUGGUAGCAGGGCGCAGAAGAGAACAAAUAGAGGCCUCUUGCUGUACACCUAUAUAUUUAAAGUCCUAAGGCAAGCUAAUGACUAACUGUUAAAUAAAAUGUUUAUUCUCCUA
Molecule: RNA transcript, 4595 nt
Organism: Mus musculus (house mouse)
Lineage: Eukaryota; Metazoa; Chordata; Mammalia; Rodentia; Muridae
Gene: Arhgap27
Gene name: Rho GTPase activating protein 27
Exons: 18
Source: RefSeq, marked validated